AAUACAUGCAAGUUGAACGUUUUGUGUUUAAUUGAUACGAUGAGCUUGCUCUGAUUUGAUUUUAUGAUUUCAAAGAGUGGCGAGCGGGUGAGUAACACGUGGGUAACCUACCUCUUAGCGGGGGAUAACAUUUGGAAACAAGUGCUAAUACGGUAUAAUACCAACAACCGCAUGGUGUGUUGGUUGAAAGAUGGUUCUGUUAUCAAUAAGAGAUGGACCCGCGGUGCAUUAGUUAGUUGGUAAGGUAAUGGCUUACCAAGGCAAUGAUGCAUAGCCGAGUUGAGAGACUGAUCGGCCACAAUGGGAUUGAGACACGGCCCAUACUCCUACGGGAGGCAGCAGUAGGGAAUCUUCCACAAUGGGCGCAAGCCUGAUGGAGCAACGCCGCGUGUGUGAUGAAGGGUUUCGGCUCGUAAAACACUGUUAUAAGAGAAGAACGGCACUGAGAGUAACUGUUCAGUGUGUGACGGUAUCUUACCAGAAAGGAACGGCUAAAUACGUGCCAGCAGCCGCGGUAAUACGUAUGUUCCAAGCGUUAUCCGGAUUUAUUGGGCGUAAAGCGAGCGCAGACGGUUAUUUAAGUCUGAAGUGAAAGCCCUCAGCUCAACUGAGGAAUUGCUUGGAAACUGGAUGACU
Molecule: ribosomal RNA, 636 nt
Filed under: Weissella hellenica
Lineage: Bacteria; Bacillati; Bacillota; Bacilli; Lactobacillales; Lactobacillaceae
Description: bacterial SSU rRNA
Rfam family: Bacterial small subunit ribosomal RNA
Source: RNAcentral